RNAcentral lists this ribosomal RNA (383 nucleotides) under Osmundea sp. RNAcentral's name for it is "partial small subunit ribosomal RNA". It matches the Rfam family "Eukaryotic small subunit ribosomal RNA", at positions 582 to 975 of the family's 1831-position model. The record is from RNAcentral. Lineage: Eukaryota; Rhodophyta; Florideophyceae; Ceramiales; Rhodomelaceae.
AUUCCAGCUCUGUAAGCGUAUACCAAAGUUGUUGCAGUUAAAACGCUCGUAGUCGAACCUUGGCGUGAGUUACGGAGGCUCCUAAUGGACGUUGAAGUAACUCCGCCUUUGUGGAGGGGGGUGUGGUGUUACUUAAUUGUAUUGCCGCAUUUCCGCCACUGUUUACUGUGAAAAAAUUAGAGUGUUCAAAGCGAGCGUUUGCCAUGAAUACAUUAGCAUGGAAUAAUAGAAUAGGACCUGGUCCUGUUUUAUUGGUUUGUCUGUAUCAGGUAAUGAUUAACAGGGACGGUCGGGGGCAUUUGUAUUCCAGCGUUAGAGGUGAAAUUCUUGGAUCGCUGGAAGACAAACAGCUGCGAAAGCGUCUGCCAAGGACGUUUUCAUCA